RNAcentral lists this small RNA (613 nucleotides) under Pan troglodytes (chimpanzee). Its description in RNAcentral is "processed transcript". Lineage: Eukaryota; Metazoa; Chordata; Mammalia; Primates; Hominidae. The record is from RNAcentral.
UGGCAGCUGGUUUGCAGACAGAACUGAAGAUAGAGUUAUUUGCCACGGCUGUUGGAGAGGAUGGGGCCAAGGGAUCAGCACACAUCUCUCACAAUAUCGAGAUUAUGACAGAGCAUGAGGUUCUGUUCCUACCUGUGGAAGCAACAGUUUUAACAAGCAGCAAUUAUGAUAAACGACCAAAAGACUUUCCCCAGGGAAAAGAAAAUUCAAUGGUCCAGAGAACUUCUACAAUUUAUUCCUCCACACUUGGAGUCUUCAUGUCUCGUAAAGUUUCUCCACAUUAGGAACCCCUCCUUCUUACUUCAGAAAAAGUAUUCUAAAAUGGCAAGAUCUGCAUGAGUUUAGAGUCAGUCAGAUCUGGGUUGACAACUGAACUCUGCCCCUUACCAACUAUGCUACAAGUCAAGCCAGAUUCCUUAUCUAUAAGUUUCUUCUCGGUACAACUCAAUAGCCUCCAUAAUCCUCUCAGCCUACAGAGGAUGAGAAAGGAAAGAAGUCAUCACAACAUACUCCAUCAUCCCAGGACACUGAAACUGGAAGAACUGACCAGAAAUUUGCCAAAUGAAAUAGCUUCAAUCCGUUUAAUAAAGACGUGCCAAUAGAGUGCCAAAAA